AAACCAGCACCUCAAGUGGUCAGGAGGAUUAUUGGGCCUAAAGCAUCCGUAGCCUGUUCUGUAAGUUUCCGGUUAAAUCCAUUAGCUCAACUAAUGGGCUGCCGAAAAUACUGCAGAACUAGGGAGUGUGAGAGGUAGACGGUACUCGGGAGGAAGGGGUAAAAUCCUUUGAUCUCUCGAUGACCACCUGUGGCGAAGGCGGUCUACCAGAACACGUCCGACGGUGAGGGAUGAAAGCUGGGGGAGCAAACCGAAUUAGAAACCCUAGUAGUCC
Molecule: ribosomal RNA, 274 nt
Filed under: uncultured bacterium
Lineage: Bacteria
Description: partial 16S ribosomal RNA
Rfam family: Archaeal small subunit ribosomal RNA
Source: RNAcentral